CACCUUCGGGUGUGAAUUAGCGGCGAACGGGUGAGGAACACGUGAGAAAUCUGCCUUCAACACUGGGAUAACUCCGGGAAACCGGGGCUAAUACCGGAUAUGAAAUCUGCGGGCAUCCGCGGAUUUGGAAAGUUUUUCGGUUGAAGAUGAUCUCGCGGCCUAUCAGCUUGUUGGUGAGGUAAUGGCUCACCAAGGCGACGACGGGUAGCCGGCCUGAGAGGGCGACCGGCCACACUGGGACUGAGACACGGCCCAGACUCCUACGGGAGGCAGCAGUGGGGAAUAUUGGGCAAUGGAGGAAACUCUGACCCAGCGACGCCGCGUGCGGGAUGAAGGCCUUCGGGUUGUAAACCGCUUUCAGCAGGGAAGAAGCGAAAGUGACGGUACCUGCAGAAGAAGCACCGGCUAACUAUGUGCCAGCAGCCGCGGUAAUACAUAGGGUGCAAGCGUUGUCCGGAAUUAUUGGGCGUAAAGAGCUCGUAGGUGGUUCGUCACG
Molecule: ribosomal RNA, 496 nt
Filed under: uncultured Actinomycetes bacterium
Lineage: Bacteria; Bacillati; Actinomycetota; Actinomycetes
Description: bacterial SSU rRNA
Rfam family: Bacterial small subunit ribosomal RNA
Source: RNAcentral